RNAcentral lists this ribosomal RNA (308 nucleotides) under uncultured bacterium. RNAcentral describes it as "bacterial SSU rRNA". It matches the Rfam family "Bacterial small subunit ribosomal RNA", at positions 28 to 334 of the family's 1533-position model. The record is from RNAcentral.
GACGAACGCUGGCGGCGUGCCUAACACAUGCAAGUCGAACGGAGUUAAGUGCUUCGGCAUUUAACUUAGUGGCGAACGGGUGAGUAACGCGUGAGAAACCUGCCUUUCAGUGGGGGACAACAGUUGGAAACGACUGAUAAUACCGCAUGACAUGUUUUCUCCGCAUGAGGAAAACAUCAAAUGAUUUUUCGCUGAAAGAUGGGCUCGCGUCCGAUUAGGUAGUUGGUGAGGCAACGGCUCACCAAGCCGACGAUCGGUAGCCGGACUGAGAGGUCGAUCGGCCACAUUGGGACUGAGACACGGCCCAG